GGUUAAGCGACUAAGCGUACACGGUGGAUGCCCUGGCAGUCAGAGGCGAUGAAGGACGUGCUAAUCUGCGAAAAGCGUCGGUAAGGUGAUAUGAACCGUUACAGCCGGCGAUGUCCGAAUGGGGAAACCCAGUGUGAUUCGUCACACUAUCGUUAACUGAAUACAUAGGUUAACGAGGCGAACCGGGGGAACUGAAACAUCUAAGUACCCCGAGGAAAAGAAAUCAACCGAGAUUCCCCCAGUAGCGGCGAGCGAACGGGGAGCAGCCCAGAGUCUGAAUCAGCUUGUGUGUUAGUGGAACGGUCUGGAAAGUCCGACGGUACAGGGUGAUAGUCCCGUACACCAAAAUGCACAGGCUGUGAACUCGAAGAGUAGGGCGGGACACGUGGUAUCCUGUCUGAAUAUGGGGGGA
RNAcentral lists this ribosomal RNA (412 nucleotides) under Klebsiella pneumoniae. RNAcentral describes it as "partial 23S ribosomal RNA". It matches the Rfam family "Bacterial large subunit ribosomal RNA", at positions 1 to 452 of the family's 2925-position model. Lineage: Bacteria; Pseudomonadati; Pseudomonadota; Gammaproteobacteria; Enterobacterales; Enterobacteriaceae. The record is from RNAcentral.